UACAGAGGCGGCAAGCGUUGUUCGGAAUUACUGGGCGUAAAGGGCGCGUAGGCGGCCUUCUAAGUCAGACGUGAAAUCCCCCGGCUUAACCUGGGAACUGCGUCUGAUACUGGGAGGCUUGAGUAUGGGAGAGGGAUGUAGAAUUCCAGGUGUAGCGGUGAAAUGCGUAGAUAUCUGGAGGAAUACCGGUGGCGAAGGCGGCAUCCUGGACCAUUACUGACGCUGAGGCGCGAAAGCUAGGGGAGCAAAAGGG
RNAcentral lists this ribosomal RNA (253 nucleotides) under uncultured bacterium. RNAcentral describes it as "partial 16S ribosomal RNA". It matches the Rfam family "Bacterial small subunit ribosomal RNA", at positions 524 to 776 of the family's 1533-position model. The record is from RNAcentral.